RNAcentral lists this long non-coding RNA (7745 nucleotides) under Sus scrofa (pig). Its description in RNAcentral is "lncRNA (ENSSSCG00040058260.1)". Lineage: Eukaryota; Metazoa; Chordata; Mammalia; Artiodactyla; Suidae. The record is from RNAcentral.
GCAGGACUUUUCAGAACCUUUAAUGAGCUAAUAUUUGUUGUGAAUCCCUAAGAGGCAGAGAUCCUUUUGUCCAUACAUCCCUUCUGGAAGUAAUCACUUUAAGCAUGCUGUUAACUAAUCCUACAGGACAAGAGUUUGCCAAAUCUGGUUCAAAGAACCUGGGUCAGUUUUGAGUCACUUUUUACCUCUUCUACCACACCCUGAAAUGUUAACGUGCUUUUUUACCUUUGGCCUUUUUGAGCACAUGAUCUUUUCCCAAAUCUGCUCCCAGCUUAUAGCUUGGAAAGACUAAGAUUUGUCAUAGGAGAAUUGAAAAUGCAAAGAUCAAGACGGAAAAAACAUUCAGAAAGCAAGAUUUUGCAGCCAAACAUGAGCCUUGGAAAAUCAAGUUAUUAUCUUCAGAGAUAAUAUCCUUCCUUUGCUAUCUUUACUGAGCUAAACUAUAGAAUCCUACAUAGUCAGGACCUGAGAGGAAGAGGAAGGAAGAAUCCUGCCUGUUUUUGACACUGGAAGCAUUGUGAGAAAGGAGAGAAGGGCACUGAGAUGAAUAGACACGUCAAUUCUUUUUUACUUCUCCUAGCCCCUCUCUGUUUAUACAUGCCUUUCUCCGUUUGCAUGCUUUAAGACACCCCUUAAGGUCCUGGGGUGGAGCCAUAUCAAAAUAAACCACCGUUUACAGGCAGGCAGGGGAAUCCCUGAGGUUUAGCUUUUCUGAACCGUGCUGGAUUACUGUGCAGGAUAGACAAGAUGCAGAUGUAGCUAAGGAUCUGACAAAGAAGAGUCUCAGAGAGAGAUCACUGCCAUAAACAGAGCUAACUCUGGAACAAGAUCUGCAGAGUGGACUGCUCAUGGCACGAUCAAGUGGGUAGCACAGCCAGACCUCCAAGGAUUCCAAGGUCCAGCGAAAGCCAAGGAUAAGUCUGGAGUCAGCCAGUGUGUACCCAGUGAGAGAAGAUUUUUUAAAUGGACCAUUCGAGUUCAUUAGUCACAAGCAUGAGCACUGUAGGUCAACGAGGCAUUCAGCAAGCAGGAGAUCAGGAGACACUGCCCCACAGAUGAGGGCAAUGGACAGUGGGCACAAGGGAAGUAACUCUUUCCCUCCCACUGUCCCGUACACCUCGUCAUCUUGGAGAAGCAUAGGAAGAAGGGAGAGAGAGAUGAGUGAUGUUUCCCAGACAGAAGCAUCAUUACCCCAGGAGACUGUUUAAAUUAUAAACUCAAACUCCUUUUCUUCGAGACUGGCUUCAGUAGUUAUGUUUUAUUUUUGAAGCAAUGCGUAAAUGAGCCUUACUAGAAAAACCAGAUUCCCAACAAAACAAAGUACACAUUUCUCUGGACAUUCGAGUUACAACAGGUGGAUUUUUUUACCCCUCUUCCUCUAAUCCCAUCAGAGCUUCCUAAAUACGGCAUCAGUUUUAGGUCUAAGGUAUUGUCCUCUGUGUAACACACCGAAGUAAAUCCAACCAGCCAUCAAAGUUCAGCUCAAAGUCCAAAUUUAUCCCAAAGCCUUCUACUUUAAACCCGCUCAUCUUCCUUCUCAUGGUCCUCCUUGGACAAAGAUAGUUUUAACCUAGUUUUAACCAAGAUGACUGAACUGCUGAGAUGACAAAGAUCCCUUUAAAACACAAAAAACCUGGAGGAGUUUCCCCACAUAGCACAGUUUCCUUAGCUCCUGAGCCUCCCAGGGCCCUGACCAGCCCUGCUGCCAAGAGGAACAGUUCUGUCAUAAUCCUAGGCUAGACCAAUUUCGACACAAAAGCUUGGGACUCAGCCAGAACCAAUGACCUGGAAAAGGCAGUGAGUCAAACAUCCAAUAAACACGAUGUCUAUAGCACCUGUCUCUCCCCACAAUUACGGUAGGCAACCAUGACAUCUAUAACCUAAUACAAAACAUUCCUUGCCACCAGGCAAAGUAUUCCUCCCAGCUAACAAACAAAACCACUUUUAAAUGUUUAAUCAUUUUGCCUUGGUAAAUAUUCAUUUGUAAAAUUUGAAAUAAUAGAAUCCUAUAACCAGAAUAAAGAAUUUUUUGGACUUAGUGCUUCACAGUGGGAAAAAAAAAUACAUUCUUGAAAAACCUGAGUCAGUUGUAAUUAACUCCUACUUAUCUCAACAUGUUAUUAAUCCUUUAUUUUAUCGCCAGGUUCAUUUUUUUCUAUUGCCCUGCAAAAUCCAGGAGGAAAAAAAUAUGGGACCGUUCCCAAAAUCUAUUUUUGUCUUAUUUUUCUUCUCUCAUUUAUUUACAUGCAAAAACUUAAAAUCAGGUAGUUAAAAAUCAUCUUUCAAUUUUCCAUCAUUGAGAACAGAUAUACACUUAGCUCAAGUUGCAGUACCUAUUAUUCGCUCAAGGACCUUGGGUGAAAUCAACUUUCAGAGCCUCGAGGGUUUUCAGUAUUAUUUAUAAAAUAAGGAUGAUACAGCAAUACCUAACGCGGGAAGCUAUUAUAAUGGCAAAAUGAAAUGGUAUUUAAUCCACAUAGCUAAUUUAGCUAAGUCAUGAGUAAUGAAGCCCUCUAGAAGGUCCAGUAGGAAAGCAGAGGAAGGCAGGCUUCACUGAGCAGCAAAGGCACCAGAGAGAGGAUACCUGAUCUUUAAGAUACGUGACCCUGGACUGGGAGAGGAAGGAAAGGAGGAAAAUAAUCCCAUGAAGAAGAACGGGGAUGUGCAAAGGAAUAGGCUGAGUUCCAAGCACUACGAGAACUGGUUCUGAAGGGCUCUGGAUGGCACAUGAAGGCAAACAACUUUCCAUUCCAUGGCGCAUGGGUGAAAUCAGGCUCAUCCACUUACCUACCUUCCUCCCUACCACGUUCACCUUUCUUCUCUAGGUCAGGGUCUCCGCUCACUCGCUGCCCUGUCCACACUGAAACACCACGCUCAAAAUCCACCUUCUCCAGAAUGCCUCCUCGGACUCAACUACCUACAGUCACCUCUCCUUUUCCCGAUGUCCCGUCAAACACAGAAACUGCUGAAAGAUGAACUGCAUUUAGUUAUAUAGCCUCUUUUAUGAUGCUAAGUAUUUCUUUUAUACAACCCUUGUUCAAAUUAUGAAUUCCUGAAGGACAGUGACCGUACCAACAAAAACAAGAGUAAAAAUACCACCAAUUUUUAGGUAAUUGUAUUAUCGUUUAAAAAAGACAUAGCUUGGAGUUCCCGUGGUGGCGCAGUGGUUAACGAAUCCGACUAGGAACCAUGAGGUUGCGGGUUCGAUCCCUGCCCUUGCUCAGUGGGUUAAAGAUCCGGCGUUGCCGUGAGCUGUGGUGUAGGUCGCAGACGCGGCUCGGAUCCCGAGUUGCUAUUGUUAAAGUGGCUCAACCUAGUAAUUUUAAACAUUUAUACCUCUUUUCAAAAUAUACUAUAAAUCAAACAGUGCCAAGUAAUGAAAAACCUAAGCCACUGAUUAAAGGAAGGAAGAAGAGUUUUAAAACAACCAGUAAAGAUAGGGUUAGGAAGUAAAGAACCAGUCAUUUCAGAAAAUAGCCAGGGGUGAAGGGUAGGAGGCAGGGGAAGCCUCUUAUGGCUGAUUUUGGUUAGCUUUUCCUAAAGCAUUUACUUUGGGACAAACGACUUACAAUAUAAAACUGGUAGCCAAUAGGAAAAGAACAUGCAGAACUAAGUCCAUUCUCUUUCCAUUUAUUUGACUGUACAUCACUCUAUCUUUUAAGCCAAGCAAAUACAAAUUUAGAUAAUUUAAGUAUUUUUGCAAGUGAUGAGAAUACUCCAAAGUUUUAAAAUGUUUUCAUGAAAUUUAACAAGAGUAUCACUGAGACAAAACUUUUCCUUAGGCAUUUAAAUAGUUUACAAAUAUUUUUCAGCUCUUUCCAGAAAGAUAGUAGUUAAAGAACAUGAAGCAGUGACCAUUUCUAAACUUCACAGAGAUAAAAAUUUUACUUCCACCCCAAAUAAAAGCAUCAUAAUAACUGAAUAAUACAAAGAUACACUUGGUAAAGUGGAUAACUUCACAACACAACUAUUAAAAGAGUUAUUAAAGGCAGUGCAAGAAUGUAAGUCAAGGAAGACUACACACAAUUUCUAGAAAACAGAUGCCACAACCUACCAAGGAGCAUCCAUCAUGAUGAAGCAUGAAGAUAAAAAAAAAACUAAAAGCUAUCUUCCUUUUGUUCACAAGUUACUUAAACCUAAAACUGCUCUAAAAAAUAAAGUCUAUUAUUUUUUUUAAGUGAACGUGAUAGAAGUUCCUUCUACCUUAAACUACAGGAAGAUGCAAUGAGAACUGUGAACUGAACAAGUGAGUGUGGAGAGUGGAAAAGCAGUGGAUGAAUUCCAGAAGACCAGGCUCCUAGGAACCUGACGGACAGCUCAGGCCAGGGCUGAGAGCACACAGGAAGCAGGACAAGGUGGUAAGACUGGAACCUCAGCAUCCCAGGACAAGGUGCUAAGACUGGAACCUCAGCAUCCCAGCAACCUUUUCCAGACACUCAGUAAAGUUUUAUCUUCCUAAAACCAUUACCUGCUAUCAGUCCACUAUGUUUUAGUAGUAACAACACAAACCGGUUCUUCUUAGCACCAAUCAAGUACCUGAUGUUCUAUAUAUGAUCUUCUGUACUAAGAUAUUUAUAUACAUAAAAUAGAAAUUGAUAAAGGAUGACACUAAAAAUAGGUAUUAAUAGAAUUUUAAUAUGAUCUUCCUACACUGCAAUGAACAAACAUACCAUCUUGGAGAUUACUAUAAACUCUAGGAUAGAGUGUAAACUUUUUUUUUUUUAGGGCCACACAUGCAGCAUAUGUAGGGGUCAAACUGGAGCUGCAGCUGCCGGCCCAUGCCACAGCCACAGCAGCCUGAGAUGGGAGCCAGGUCUGUGAUCUCGCCACAGCUCACAGCAACCCCAGAUCCUUAGCCCACUGAGCAAGGCUAGGGAUUGAACCCACAUCCUCAUAGGUACUAGUCAGAUUUGUUUCUGCUGAGCAACAAUGGGAACUCUCGAGUUUCAACUUUUAAGAUCAGGCUUUUAUCCACCACUCAAAUCUCAUCUAUUCCAGUUAUCCUAUGGACACCACUUACUAAACUCUUUCUGUUCCUCCAUCACAGGCUAUGUUUACUGAUCUUAACAAUGCCACAGAGGCUGUGCUCCUCUAUUUGGAACAAGUUCUCUCUCUUCCUGCCUCAGGCUUCCUAUUAAAUAUAUUUUCAUCCUUCACAACACAGAGAGGCUGAUGGCACUGAGGUCUCUUAGAAUGACCUGCUGAAGGAAAGAAAGAGGAGCAAUUGUUUGCCUUCUUCCAUCUCACAUCUUAUAAAGUCUGCCACCCAGGGCAGCCCCUCCUUCACACUUCGGGCUGUGCUUCCCGGACCCUCUGCACAGCUUCUGAGAAAGUCACCUCUCCACUUAAGUGACACCCCAGCACUGGUGCUGCUGACACAUCCUAGGCUGAGUGAUGGAGGUGGGUGGGAGCCCGGUCCUUGUCUUCUCAGAGGAAUCUGAGAUAGAAGUGGUAAGAGAUACUGGCAGAGGCAGGGCACUCCAGGUAAGACCUCAGAUAACCCGGGGCAACCAUGAAGCACCAGAGAAAGCUGUUGAGACCUGGGCAGUGGGACCCAGAAGACCUAAAAGCCAACCUUCCCCUCAUGCCACUCAGUUGACUUGCAGAUCUCAUACAAAAAGGCAGCUGCCCUUAUGUUGUCUCCAGGAGAGGAGGCUCAAGUCCCGUUCUUCACGGUAGUUAAUUUGCAAUUGCCAAAGAGAGUCAGUAAACCAAACUACAGUUUGUACCAUUUGCAACCGGUCCUGUCAAGUUACAUUUAUCAUCUCCUCUUCCACCUCCCAUUUUAGAUGCCCUUCACCCUUGACCAGUGCUCUGGGUCAUCUGGGGUUCUGCUUAUGGAGGGACCCAGACAUUUAUUUUCAAGUUGGCUUGGGCCUCUAAGUGUCUUGCCUUUGUCAGGCCAUCGUUGCUUAAAUGGUCCAACUGCAGUUACCAGAAGGCAGGGAAAACACCGAAAGAUGACCCAGCGAAUCUCCUAAGCCAGACAUACUCCUCCCUAUACCCAACACAGUGGACCCUGCACAUAACCUAUGUAAUAGUAACCCUAACUUCUCCUGGCGUUCAAGGUUGCACAGUCUAGCUGGUACAUCCUUUAUGCCCACCAGUGCACUGUCAUAAGCCCAAAGUGAACAGCUGGUAUUCACAGCUUCUAGUCAACGGGAGUCUUACUGUGUCCUCUGGCUAAAACGUUCUUCAUUCCACCUUCCAGGAAUCAGGUCCUCUAAACGAGCAGAGGCUAAAAUUGCAGGGAUAGAAAGCAAGAAGUCUGAAACACUGAGACUGAUGGUAAAAGCCAAGUCCAACUUCCUCCCCUUCGUUUUCAGAUUCUUUUAAUCUGUUACCAAAUUAGCACUAUUGAUCAGCUAUUGAAUCAGCACCCCAACAGUGUAUCCAACCCCACCGAGGUUGCUUCCUUCAUUGCAUCUUUCCUCCAGACGCUUCCAGGUACUGGAGAACAUAGUAAGUAACAUAAACCCUGUGGUCAUGGGCUCAAGUAUAAUAUAAUCCCCUUAGUCCUACCAGGGAGCCAUGUUAUAUGUGGUACCAUACUGAUGUAUCAGUCACCCCAUCUGUGGACUGUACACUCUGAUGAUGAUAUUGGCAGGUUUCUGCAGGAAGGGGAAUAAAAAAACCUCGAUCUGGUGUACAUGUCUGAUAAGGACAAUGCUAUCUCUUCCAAGGUCAAAGGUUUCCAAGAUAACCCAUCUUUCACCAGAUACUAGCUGAUAGUGCCUUAUCAAGGGCUCUGUGUCUAUCUCUGGUGAUAAGCAAGUUAGACACUUGAGUACAAGGUUUGGAAAUGCAUUCUUUGGUGACCUGGUGAAGAGGAUGCCCCGAGGAGUCUGAGUGGGGGGUUCUCAAGUCUUACAAAGCAGAUCCUGUCUAAUCCCCCCCGGCCAAGACGUUUGACUCCUUUCUCAACAACACACCAAAGAAAUUUUGACAUUUCCGCAUGUCCUCGCCAGAUCACAGUUAAGUACCUAUGUGGUACUUUUCACACAAUAGCACCUUACAGUCCACAUUCUACCAUCUUUAAAUACCCUCAAGAUCUACUCCCACCAAUACUCAUACAAUCCCUGAGAGGACAUGCUCUCUUGCACUUAUUUUGGCAUACAGUACAUUUCUUCUUGGAGUAGGGCUCAAAAUCCCCCCCUCAGCCUGUACUGAGAUGCUAUUCAGGCCACUCAACCUGAAAGUAAGCAGGGGUAACAUAGGCAGAUCUUGAGGAGUUUAAGCACCAACUUACAAAGCACCGCCCAGACUCCAAAAGAAGGUAGGGCUAUUUCCCCUAACCAAGAAAUACAGGGCAAUUUGCGGGUUCAGUAUAGUCAAGCGCAUCCACCUAAACGUCUCCAGUGCCAGUCUCAGAGUGCUACUCAGGUCCACCAAAGUCCUGAACUUGACCUAAGUAACCUGUCAAAACUGCACACUUGGUCUACUUCGCAGCCCUGCCGCCCUUACAGUUACACCCUGGGCCUGGUUUCCAGUGUAGUAUUCACCUGGAUGCAGAAAUGAGUCUCUCUUAAAGCAAUGAGGAGGGUCCUCUAGCUUCCACACUAUGCCUGAAGUUGACUUUCAGCGGCCCCAGGUCUACACCUUUUCUUUCUCAAAGACUCCAAUGCUGCCAAAACAUUCAAGGCCUCACAGUGAUCCUCAUCCCUACACCAGACCACCUCGGCAGCCACACCUUUUGCCUUUCACACGCAGACCUCACACCAAAUGACCAGAGCUCAAAGCUGUGC